GGAGAGGUGUCCGAGUGGUUGAUGGUGCCGCUCUCGAAAAGCGGUGUGCGAUGAGCACCGUGGGUUCGAAUCCCACCCUCUCCGCCA
RNAcentral lists this transfer RNA (87 nucleotides) under Chloroflexota bacterium. RNAcentral describes it as "tRNA-Ser". It matches the Rfam family "tRNA". Rfam says of the family: Transfer RNA (tRNA) molecules are approximately 80 nucleotides in length. Their secondary structure includes four short double-helical elements and three loops (D, anti-codon, and T loops). The record is from RNAcentral. Lineage: Bacteria; Bacillati; Chloroflexota. RNAcentral also lists the same sequence under 6 other names.